This 405-nucleotide ribosomal RNA is filed under the name uncultured bacterium. RNAcentral's name for it is "partial 16S ribosomal RNA". It matches the Rfam family "Bacterial small subunit ribosomal RNA", at positions 29 to 526 of the family's 1533-position model. The record is from RNAcentral.
AUUGAACGCUGGCGGCAAGCCUAACACAUGCAAGUCGAACGAGUGGCGGACGGGUGAGUAAUGUCUGGGAAACUGCCUGAUGGAGGGGGAUAACUACUGGAAACGGUAGCUAAUACCGCAUACCAUCGGAUGUGCCCAGAUGGGAUUAGCUAGUAGGGGGGGUAAAGGCUCACCUAGGCGACGAUCCCUAGCUGGUCUGAGAGGAUGACCAGCAAAACUGGAACUGAGACACGGCCCAGCCUCCUAGGGGGGGCAGCAGUGGGGAAUAUUGCAAAAUGGGCGAAGGCCUGAGGCAGCCAGGCCGGGUGGAGGAAGAAGGCCUUCGGGUUGUAAAGUACUUUCGGCGGGGAGGCGUUACCCGCAGAAGAAGCCCCGGCUAACUCCGUGCAAGCAGCGCGGUAAUAC